UUGCUAGAGGUGAAAUUAUUGGAUCUACGGAAGACAAACUUGUGAGAAAGCAUUUGCCACGGAUGUUUUCAUUAAUCAAGAAAGAAGGUUAGGGGAUCGAAAACGAUCAGAUACCGUUGUAGUUUUAACAGUAAACUAUGCCGACUAGGGAUCGGGCGAUGUUAAUAUCUUGACUCGCUCGGCACCUUACGAGAAAUCAAAGUUUUUGGGUUCUGGGGGGAGUAUGGUCGCAAGGUUGAAACUUAAAGAAAUUGACGGAAGGGCACCACCAGGAGUGGAGCCUGCGGCUUAAUUUGACUCGACACGGGGAAACUCUUUAGGUCCAGAGACAAGUAGGAUCCACAGAUUGAGAGCUCUUUUCUGAUCUUGUAGUUGUUGGUGCAUGGCCGUUCUUAGUUGGUGGAGUGAUUUGUCUGCUUAAUUCGAUAACGAACGAGACCUUAACGGAAUAAAUACCCCGGCUCCCUUUGGCGGGUGGAAGCAUUGUUAGAGGGUAUCUCGGCUCAAAAAGAUGGAAGUGCGAGGCAAUAACAGGUGCGUGAUGCCCUUAGAUGUUAUGGGAUGCACGCGCGCUACACUGUCAGAGCCAGCGAGUUUUUUUCCUUGGCCGGAAGGUCUGGGUAAUCUUGUUAAACUGAGUUGGGGUGGGGAUAGCGCAUAGCAAUUAUUGCUCUUCAACGAGGAAUCCAUAGUAAGCGCACUCUUCAGCAUGCUUUGAUUACGUCCCUGCCCCUUGUACACACCGC
This 746-nucleotide ribosomal RNA is filed under the name uncultured eukaryote. RNAcentral's name for it is "bacterial SSU rRNA". It matches the Rfam family "Eukaryotic small subunit ribosomal RNA", at positions 902 to 1672 of the family's 1831-position model. The record is from RNAcentral.